Long non-coding RNA from Chrysemys picta bellii (western painted turtle), 2678 nucleotides. RefSeq lists it as uncharacterized. Lineage: Eukaryota; Metazoa; Chordata; Testudines; Emydidae. The record is from RefSeq and is a predicted model, not a curated record.
GCUGCCGGUGGGUGCUGCUGUGCAGCACCCGCUAAUUUUUCUCUGUGGGUGCUCCAGCCCUGGAGCACCCAUGGAGUUGGCGCCUAUGGUAUGGUGUUGCAAAUACAGAGUUGCACUAGUUUGUAUAGAUGGCCGGAAGAACAUGGUGAAACAAACCACCAGUUGUUUGACCAGGAAAAGAUCUCUGAGCGGUUUGUUCCUUGGAAAGAGGCAGGAGCGAGAUCCCAUCCUAGGGUGACCAGAUAUCAAGUGUGAAAAAUCGGGACGGGGGUGGGGGGCAAUAGGUACCUAUAUAAGACAAAGCCCAAAUAUCACAACUGUCCCUAUAAAAUUGGGACAUCUGGUCACACUAUCCCACCCUGUCACAGGCCCCAAAAGCUUUGGACCAAAAUCCCUAUGAAGUCAAAAUUCUAAACUAUAAAUCUUGAAAAUAAAAAAUCCAGAGAGGGUCAGUUUCCUUUACUGGUAUUUAAAUGCUUUCCCCACAAAAUCAUACCGUACUAGCAUGCUGGUAGGAACAUUGUCACAGGUGGAUUUUCUCUGUCCUCAUGAUAAUAGUUAACCCCUCGAUAGUACUCAUCACCAUGUAUUCUUUGACAGGUUUCCAUGUCCUGUUUAGGGUUUAUGUGCUGCCCUCCGUUCCCGUUUCCAGUUGUGUACAGGUUUGGUGUGGUCGGCCAUUUUGAAUUUUUUUUAUUAUUAUUAUUUUUCUGUGUUGGACAGGGGAAUGUUGUGUGCUUGUGGUUUGGUUGAUUUUUUAGAGAAAAAGUAUGAAAGAAUAGAAAGACAGGCCUUAAAGGAAAGGCGUUUUUUAAAAAGAAAGAUUGUUUGGUUAGGUUUAGUAAGGAGAGAUGUUGGUUAUGAAAGAAAAAGUUUGAAAAGAGUAAAAAGGAAUAGAAAAAUAGAAAAAAAUGAAAUCAUAGAAAAUAUUUGAAAUAAAUUAAAAAAGCAAAAGGUUUAUUAAAUAAAAGAGGAAAAUAUAAGGUGGAUUGAGAGAGGUUGGUUAUUAAAGAAAAUAAAGAUUUUUGGUUAGGUUUAUUAAGGAGAGAGGGUUUUAAAGAAUAGAAAGAAGAAAAAUAAGCACAGGGCAAAGAAAGAAGGGUUUUAGAGAAACAAAUAAAAAAUAAAGCAACAAGAGAGUCUGUGUUGCUGAACACGUGCAGAGCAAAGCAUGGUACCCCUACGACUGCCGGUAGUGAAAUGAUAGCUGUCCUGGGUGGCGAGACUCGGGAGGAAAUUACGUCGGACCAAUCAGAAGCUGUUUUACAACUAUGUCAUAGAACACAUUUUUUCAGAUGCAGGCUAUCGUGGAGCAGAUUAUUUGAAAAACUCUAGCCAAUGAGCAUUUGACCAUGUGUAUAAAGCUGUGCAUUUUUGUGAAUGGUGGUUUUAAAAUUGGGAGCCUAGACACUACGGCCAUGUCCUUUUACAAGAUGCCUACAGACAUCAAGAAGCCCGAAUUGUUUUUGGGUGCCCCUAAUUGUGUUCAGAAGAGACACCCCAUUUACACUUUUUUUGCUAAAGAGGCAGCUGCAAUGCCGAACCCAGCGUUUCAGCCUGAAAUAGAACCGAAGAACCAGGAAGACUUUUUGGAGUCGUCGCUGGUUGUAAAAAAGGAAAGGAAUAGCAUGUGUGAAAAAAUUGUUGCCAGCUUUGGAGGAAGUAGACUCGAAGGUGGAGGUAGGACUGGAAGAAGAGUCUGUAUAUGGGGACAUGGCAGCUGAGGGAUCGUUGGAGGAUAGGGAUGCUGAAAGCCAACUGACAGACCCUGAGUCAUGAAAAGAUGGAAUCAUUGUUAUGGUAAAAGCAACUGAAAGUUUUGUGAAAAAAUUAUUACAAUUAUGUGCUUAAAAUGGAUUUUUUGGUUUUUUGGCAGAUAACCAAGCCAGGACCAUACAGGAUCACAGCUCUGGUGUGUAGCGAGUGGCCAUCAGAUACAGAGCUAGAAAUGCAUGAUGAGACAUCUUCAGAGGAUGAAGAGGAUAAAGAGAGACGUACUUUGAGAGGAAUAACCAUAAUAUUCACCUGCUGGUUUCGCAUGAAGCAUGAUUUAAAAAAAAGACUGUGAAAAGUAAGGAGGUUGAUCAGCAGAGCUGCAAAGAUGACAUUAUGGCUGACAUUAUUAGGGCCGUUGUAGUAAAAACCAUUUACCACUGUUUGAAAAGAGAGCUUUUUGAAAACUCUGCAGCCUGCGCGAGAGAGGCUUCCAAUGAUCUCAGCCAUGUCUGUUUGUCUUGGGAUUGCUCAGAAACAUUUCACCAGAUUAAGAUAUAUUUCUUCUCAUCUCAACGUGGUUCAGGUCCUAAAUAUAAUUAUGGCUGAAGCCUACAAACUGAAGCAGCUUAACAUGACCAUUGAAACUGUAACCAAAGUUGUCAAAACGAUCAGAGAGGGAACAAAGACACCAGAUCCAUUGGUAUUGCUGGUAGUUCUUUCAAAGAAGGUGUCAGCAGAAAUUGGCCGAUAGGUGUGUAGUAUGGUUCGUAAAAUGAGUCCUAAAACUUUUUACAUGCCAGUUCCUUAUCCUAAAGGGUCAAAAAUAAAAACCUGACUUUUGAUUAAGAUGCAAUGUAAAAUAAGAAAGACUUGUAUAACUGUUCUUUAUAUUCCUUUGCUUCUGUAUUAAAUAAAUUUUGUUUAGCCAUAUCCCAUAUUACUCUGCUUCUGCAUUAAAUAAA